RNAcentral lists this transfer RNA (77 nucleotides) under Phaseolus vulgaris (common bean). RNAcentral describes it as "tdbR00000519". It matches the Rfam family "tRNA". From Rfam's summary of the family: Transfer RNA (tRNA) molecules are approximately 80 nucleotides in length. Their secondary structure includes four short double-helical elements and three loops (D, anti-codon, and T loops). Lineage: Eukaryota; Viridiplantae; Streptophyta; Magnoliopsida; Fabales; Fabaceae. The record is from RNAcentral.
AGCGGGGUAGAGUAGUUGGUUAACUCAUCAGGCUCAUAAUCUGAAGAUUGCAGGUUCGAAUCCUGCCCCCGCCACCA